This 497-nucleotide ribosomal RNA is filed under the name uncultured bacterium. Its description in RNAcentral is "partial 16S ribosomal RNA". It matches the Rfam family "Bacterial small subunit ribosomal RNA", at positions 28 to 507 of the family's 1533-position model. The record is from RNAcentral.
GAUGAACGCUGGCGGCGUGCCUAAUACAUGCAAGUCGAGCGAACAGAUGAGGAGCUUGCUCCUCUGACGUUAGCGGCGGACGGGUGAGUAACACGUGGAUAACCUACCUAUAAGACUGGGAUAACUUCGGGAAACCGGAGCUAAUACCGGAUAAUAUAUUGAACCGCAUGGUUCAAUAGUGAAAGACGGUUUUGCUGUCACUUAUAGAUGGAUCCGCGCCGAAUUAGCUAGUUGGUAAGGUAACGGCUUACCAAGGCAACGUUGCGUAGCCGACCUGAGAGGGUGAUCGGCCACACUGGAACUGAGACACGGUCCAGCCUCCUACGGGAGGCAGCAGUAGGGAAUCUUCCGCAAUGGGCGAAAGCCUGACGGAGCAACGCCGCGUGAGUGAUGAAGGUCUUCGGAUCGUAAAACUCUGUUAUUAGGGAAGAACAAAUGUGUAAGUAACUAUGCACGUCUUGACGGUACCUAAUCAGAAAGCCACGGCUAACUACGUG